CCUACGGGUGGCAGCAGUGGGGGAUAUUGCACAAUGGAGGAAACUCUGAUGCAGCGACGCCGCGUGAGGGAAGACGGUCUUCGGAUUGUAAACCUCUGUCUGUGGGGAAGAAAAGGACGGUACCCAAAGAGGAAGCAACGGCUAACGACGUGACAGCAGCCGCGGUAAUACGUAGGGAGCGAGAGUUGUCCGGAAUUACUGGGUGUAAAGGGAGCGUAGGCGGGCGAGAAAGUUGAAUGUUAAAUCUACCGGCUUAACUGGUAGCUGCGUUCAAAACUUCUGGUCUUGAGUGAAGUAGAGGCAGUCGGAAUUCCUAGUGUAGCGGUGAAAUGCGUAGAUAUUAGGAGGAACACCAGUGGCGAAGGCGGCCUGCUGGGCUUUACCUGCCGCUGAGGCUC
This 398-nucleotide ribosomal RNA is filed under the name uncultured bacterium. RNAcentral describes it as "partial 16S ribosomal RNA". It matches the Rfam family "Bacterial small subunit ribosomal RNA", at positions 338 to 754 of the family's 1533-position model. The record is from RNAcentral.